Molecule: ribosomal RNA, 250 nt
Filed under: uncultured bacterium
Lineage: Bacteria
Description: partial 16S ribosomal RNA
Rfam family: Bacterial small subunit ribosomal RNA
Source: RNAcentral
UACGGAGGGUGCAAGCGUUGUUCGGAAUCAUUGGGCGUAAAGCGCGCGCAGGCGGCUUGCCAAGUCUGAUGUGAAAUCCCGGGGCUCAACCUCGGAACUGCAUUGGAAACUGGCAGGCUUGAGUAUGUGAGGGGUUAGUGGAAUUCCUGGUGUAGGGGUGAAAUCCGUAGAGAUCAGGAGGAACACCAGUGGCGAAGGCGACUGACUGGAACAACACUGACGCUGAGGCGCGAAAGCGUGGGUAGCAAAC